CAACAGCCGCCGCUAAUUGCCUAAUUGGUACCAUCAAGUAUGCUGAAUUAGCUGUUAUCAGUUCCCGUUUGCUGAGUGCCCAUCGUCGUACAGACAGCCGUCACUGGAUCAACUUUGCCGCACUGAUGAACACGACAAACUUCAUUAACCCGAUUACAGAUCACGACUGUCGGCUGUCGGCGGCGAGGAGGGGACGCAGCAGCAGAACUUACUGACCUCAUCUUCUAACAGGACCAUUAGGGCAUCUGCUGCAGUCGCCCGGCCAGUGAACCGGGAGGUGAAACCAACACAACGAGCCGUAAUCUGAUCCAGCAGAUGACCAAACCACUCUCGGCAUCACGGCCGAGCCUCCGUGAACCGCUCGCUGCUCACAAACCGGACCGCAGCGGUUCAGGAUGUGGUGCAGAUUAUUCUUCGUUGACCAUGUUGUUUCCAGAUUCGAAACCGCUUUCUAAAAACUCGUCUGUUCAUGUUUGUACGUAUCAACGUUGAUGAUUCAAUUAGCUUUAUGAAUCGGUUGCCAGGUUGUGAAAAUUAAUUGCAAUACCUGGGUUGGUUCUCGCUUUUAGACGAGGCAGCAGUCGUAAAAGGUCACUAAUGUGCUUUAUUUAUGGCCAAUAAGUCAUAUACCAAUAAUUAACACAUCACUGAGAGGCCAUUAAUAAGAGACAGCUCAGGGUUGCCAAGUUAGUUGGAGCUAAAAGCAUUUAUCAGUAGCAACUUGUUCACAUAUAUCACAGCUGCUGUCUGGACGGAUUGUUGUGGGAGAUGUAAAAUAACUUGUCGUGUUAUGAAGAAGUAAGAAACCUUUGAGUUAUUAAUUUAUCAUCAACAUUUACAAAAUAAGAUCGUAAAAUACCAGCGAAGGAGAUUUCUUUAUCAAUCUGGCAACCCGAACCUGCUUCUGAAUAAGAGUAUAACUGGUUCAUAAAGCAUUGGUAAAUGACGAAUAUAGUAACUUCAAAGUUUAACAGUUUAUCAGUGAGUGAUUCUAACUAACGUUUUAAUAGGAGGCGACGCUUUUCGUGAAUUAAAGGUGCAGUGCGUAGAUUUAGAGGAAGAAAUAAACAAACUGUCUUUGUUUCCAUGACUGAAUAAACAAGCUGAUCUUAAAGGA
This is a long non-coding RNA of Acanthopagrus latus (yellowfin seabream), 1117 nucleotides long. RefSeq lists it as uncharacterized. The transcript is spliced from 3 exons. Lineage: Eukaryota; Metazoa; Chordata; Actinopteri; Spariformes; Sparidae. The record is from RefSeq and is a predicted model, not a curated record.